CCAUACAAAACCCAAAUCCAUACCACACCACCACUCUGACCCGGCCCUCCUUUUCUUUUCCUUUCCAUCAUCAAACAACCAUCAACAACAACUCAUAACCGAGAAAAACGUACAAUACGCUUAACAGCAAACCAGUGGAAAUACCCAAACUCGACUUCAACAAUUUGGUAAUUUCAACACCAACAAGCAUCGAACAACCAAACCCUAUUAGCUCCGACCCGAUUCGAACUUGAGAUACCCCUUUUUUCACUCUUCCUAUCCCGAAAUUACGAGAACCUUUUAGAAAAGUGCUAGGUGGAAGACAAGUCAAUAUUCCCAUGAAUAUUCCUCUAAUAAUCCAUUGGAAAUUUGUUGGAUUCGUACUAUAAAGGUACGACUGGUGCCCAAUUUCUAUUGGUUGAAAAAAAGCAUUCCCCAAUAUACCCAAUUUUCAAAUUCCUUCAAAAGAAUCCCAAAACUAGUACAAGAUUAGGGGGAAAUUUGGUUAUCAUCCAAAAAAUAUUUAAAAUAUCUCACUUUGCAAAUUUUUAAAUUACCCCCGUCUCCUUAUUACCACAUUGUUUGAGAAUCAAAGAAGGAUCCUAGCUAAUUCUCUAUAAAAGGCUGAUUUGGGAGCAAAAAGAGAGUGUAAAGCUAUUUUUAGAGAAAAAUUAGUGAAUUUUUUUCUGAAUAAAUUGUUUGGAAGUCGUCGACUUCUCGAAAUUCUCAAAAGACCAUUUUUCAGUGGUUGUGAUUUCGAUGGAAGCCCGGAAUGCUGUUUUGCUGGUUCAAAAGAGGAAUGGCUCUACCAUAUAAAGACUCAAGAUGGUUACCAGACCUGUUAACUUUCUGAAAAUAUGGUGGGAUCAUAUGAACAGAGAAGAUAAAAAGAUUGUUAGUACGCAUAUCGGGCACCUGCCUUCACUCAUAGAGAUAGACGCUUGGCCUAAAAUGAUCCUCAUGCUAACGAUAUUUUGGGAUGAUGUCAAUAUGGUGUUUCACUUCACAGACAUUGAAUUGACCCCCACUAUUGAAGAGGUGAGAACUUAUUAUUAAAGCAUUGAUAUAUGUGUCAAGAGCAAAAGUACACUUGAUAAAAACAUUUUAGUCCUCAUUGUAUGGAGUAGUCAAGAGAUCAAGGAUGCCUUUUCAAUCAAUGAUGAUACUUGGUUGGGGAAAUGUGAUGGGGCAAACAUAUCUUUUCGUGAUUUGUAUCACCGGUUUGGAAGGUAUAAUGCUUUUGAGAAGUUCGGACAUAAAUUUGAAUCAGAGGUAAAAUGGGAGGAGAAAAGAGCAUUUGUGUUUGCAGUAGGUCUACUUGGAACUAUGGUGUUCCCACAAGGAGAAUAUGGCACCAUUCGUCCAAGAGUCAUUAUGGUGACGCAUAUAUUUUUUUAUGGAAUUAAAUAUGGUAUCACAAAUGUAUUCUACACCCUAGCUCCCAUGAUUGUAGCUUAAAUAUAUCAAGCUUUGGAAAGGUGUCAAGCCGAGCGUCAUUUCUUUCAAGGUUGCAACCUCAUCUUGCAAUAGUGGAUGAUGACACGAUUAGUAAAGAAUCCUAAAAUGAAGCAGACAGACCCUCGAACAGGGGUGGAUCUUCUAUCGUCGCAUGACAUGUGGUUAUUCCUACACAGGUUUAAGAGAAAGGCAUCUCUGGAAUUUUGGUUUAAGCUUUUUGGGGAAUUAAGAGAUUACAACAUCUAGUGAUCCAUCAGAUAUCUUCGCCCGGGGAAGUACAUCACUCAAGGGGGUGAAUUGACUUUUCUAUUACUCCCAGGUCUCAGGGGGACUCAUCCUUAUAAUCUUAGAAGAGUCCUUAGGCAAUUCAAAAUCAAGUAGGAGACACCGCAAACUGCACAUAUGCUUAGAUUCAUCAUUGAGUAUAAAGAAGGCAAAAUUCUGCUCAAGGACUACAUGGUAGAUGGGUGGAGUAUAAGAAAGAUAGAGAAAGUAUCUUUUUCUAUCAGGUAUGAACCCAAGGUCAGUGACAUUUACAAGGAAUGGUUGAAAAAGAAUCUUGCCAAAAUAUUAACCCCGGGGCUAAAUGUACCCACUGGAAUUAUUAAUAUAGAAUCAGAACAUUAGAUCUGACUCCACAGGCUUCAAGACGAAUUCCAAAUAAGUGAGAUCAUGCACCAACAGAUGCGUAUGUAGUAUGCCUCCACCAUACAUCAAUUGAGAGAAGGGUUAAAUUGAGCUAGGUAAGAGGUUAUGAUGCUAGAUAGUGUUUGGGUGAUUUGGAUGAUUGCAUGAUUUCUCGGAUUAAUAGCAUAGGAAGGAUGACAUAUAAGAACAAAGUGCAGUUGUACGGGAGUGAUCUGAUCAUCAAUAGGUAUCACAUAUGGAAAGAGGUGAAUAAGGCUAAGAAGUCAAGGGCUAAUGAAGGAGCAUCUAGGAGCUAGUCUUUCUGUCCCCUGCCUAGGAACUUGUUCUUUUUUUAUGUUAUUUUCCUUUUCCCUAAAGAUUGUAUCUCUCUUAUUCUACUUUUGUAGGCGUUUAUGCCUUUUUAUGCAUUUAUGAAAAUCUGGGGGGUAAUGGAUUGGCUUUAAAAAGGCAUAUAUUUUCUUCAAAAUUCUUUAGGCCAACCCUUGGCUCAAAAGGGUCACCCCAACUAGGAUAUGUGUUUAGUAUAAUGUUUUUAUGUGAUAUAAAUGUCUUGUGUGUUUAUGUGCAUUUGUUUGAAUCAAAGACAACUUUAUCCACUAUAUUGUUUUAAUGU
Long non-coding RNA from Capsicum annuum, 2698 nucleotides. RefSeq lists it as uncharacterized. NCBI's taxonomy places the organism in Eukaryota, Viridiplantae, Streptophyta, Magnoliopsida, Solanales, Solanaceae. The record is from RefSeq and is a predicted model, not a curated record. The transcript is spliced from 2 exons.